GACGAACGCUGGCGGCGUGCUUAACACAUGCAAGUCGAACGGAAAGGCCCUGCUUUUGUGGGGUGCUCGAGUGGCGAACGGGUGAGUAACACGUGAGUAACCUGCCCUUGACUUUGGGAUAACUUCAGGAAACUGGGGCUAAUACCGGAUAGGAGCUCCUGCUGCAUGGUGGGGGUUGGAAAGUUUCGGCGGUUGGGGAUGGACUCGCGGCUUAUCAGCUUGUUGGUGGGGUAGUGGCUUACCAAGGCUUUGACGGGUAGCCGGCCUGAGAGGGUGACCGGCCACAUUGGGACUGAGAUACGGCCCAGACUCCUACGGGAGGCAGCAGUGGGGAAUAUUGCACAAUGGGCGGAAGCCUGAUGCAGCAACGCCGCGUGCGGGAUGACGGCCUUCGGGUUGUAAACCGCUUUCGCCUGUGACGAAGCGUGAGUGACGGUAAUGGGUAAAGAAGCACCGGAUAACUACGG
RNAcentral lists this ribosomal RNA (467 nucleotides) under uncultured bacterium. RNAcentral's name for it is "partial 16S ribosomal RNA". It matches the Rfam family "Bacterial small subunit ribosomal RNA", at positions 28 to 506 of the family's 1533-position model. The record is from RNAcentral.